This 343-nucleotide transfer-messenger RNA is filed under the name Bacteroidia bacterium. It matches the Rfam family "transfer-messenger RNA". From Rfam's summary of the family: Bacterial tmRNA, also known as 10Sa RNA or SsrA, is named for its dual tRNA and mRNA-like properties. Its role is to liberate the mRNA from a stalled ribosome. To accomplish this part of the tmRNA is used as a reading frame that ends in a translation stop signal. The record is from RNAcentral. Lineage: Bacteria; Pseudomonadati; Bacteroidota; Bacteroidia.
GGGGGUGACAAGUUUCGACAGGCGUACGUCACGCUCCGGCAGCAGGUACCGGUUGGCCAGGCCGGUCUAAAAAUGGCUAAAAAAAUAAUCGGCAAUAACACCGAACUUAAUUGGGCUUUGGCCUAAUUACCGUAUCUCCUCCGUCUCCCAUGCGGGAGAGAAUGCGGUCACUAAAUGGGAUGCUGUUUUAAGAGCGCGUUUCGUCUUUUAAAACUUAAGACUAACGGAACAAACAAAACUCCGGCGGUUACGGGCCUUGGGUUUUGUUAACAACCGUAACUAAACCUGUAGCGGCCGGGACUUAACUAUGCUUGGACGGGAGUGCGAAUCUCCCCACCUCCAC